GCACACUUAGCUCAGUGGUUAGAGCACACUUCUAGAGAGGGUAAAAUCAGUCAUGGGUUUGAACUCCAUAGUGCACA
RNAcentral lists this transfer RNA (77 nucleotides) under Cronartium comandrae C4. RNAcentral's name for it is "tRNA-Ser (AGA) (tRNA-Ser-AGA-27-1)". It matches the Rfam family "tRNA". From Rfam's summary of the family: Transfer RNA (tRNA) molecules are approximately 80 nucleotides in length. Lineage: Eukaryota; Fungi; Basidiomycota; Pucciniomycetes; Pucciniales; Coleosporiaceae. The record is from RNAcentral.